UACAGAGACUGCAAGCGUUAUUCGGAUUCACUGGGCGUAAAGGGUGCGCAGGCGGCCAAGUGUGUGAGGCGUGAAAGCCCGGGGCUUAACCCCGGAAUUGCACCUCAAACUACAUGGCUAGAGCAUUGGAGAGGGUAGCAGAAUUCAUGGUGUAGCAGUGAAAUGCGUAGAUAUCAUGAGGAAUACCAGAGGCGAAGGCGGCUACCUGGACAAUUGCUGACGCUCAGGCACGAAAACGUGGGGAGCAAAAGGG
RNAcentral lists this ribosomal RNA (253 nucleotides) under uncultured bacterium. Its description in RNAcentral is "partial 16S ribosomal RNA". It matches the Rfam family "Bacterial small subunit ribosomal RNA", at positions 524 to 776 of the family's 1533-position model. The record is from RNAcentral.